RNAcentral lists this long non-coding RNA (1984 nucleotides) under Malus domestica (apple). RNAcentral describes it as "long non-coding RNA (MDOM_LNC004222)". Lineage: Eukaryota; Viridiplantae; Streptophyta; Magnoliopsida; Rosales; Rosaceae. The record is from RNAcentral.
UAUUGGUGAAGCUUUGGUGUUGAAGCUUUGUAGGUGAAGCUUUGAGGUUGAAGCUUUGUUGGGCAUCAUGAAUUGAUUUUGCUUCACACUAUCUUGAUGAAGAGUGUGCGAAGCUUUUAUAUGUUUUGGUGUUGAAAUUUUGUAUUGUAGGUGAAGCUUUGGGGUUGAAGCUUUGGUGUUGAAGCUUUAUAGGUGAAGUUUUGGUGUUGAAGCUUUAUAAGUGAAGCUUUGGUGUUGAAGCUUUAUAGGUGAAGCUUUGGGGUUGAAGUUUUAUAGGUGAAGCUUUUGUUGGCACCAUAAAUUAAUUUUGCUUCACACUAUCUUGAUGAAGAUAGUGCAAAGCUUUUGAGAUUGAUAUUUGUCCUCCAUUGAUGAAGCUUUUGUUGGCACCAUAAAUUAAUUUUGCUUCACACUAUCUUGAUGAAGAUAGUGCAAAGCUUUUGAGAUUGAUAUUUGUCCUCCAUUCAUGAAGCUUUUGUUGGCACCAUAAAUUGAUUUUGCUUCACACUAUCUUGAUGAAGAUAGUGCAAAGCUUUUGAGGAUUGUAGUUGUGUUCCAUUGAUGAAGCUUUUGUUGAAUUUCCCAAUUUCCAAUUUCCUCUUUUUUUUUGUUUUUGUUUUUGUUUUUUUUUUUUGUUUUUGGGAAAACUAGAAAUUUGAAAAUGUGGGAGAGACAACGUAUACAAAUUUUGCUUCCAUACUGUUAAGCGAGAGAUUGUGAUGCAAGCCACAUCUUGUAGUAGUCGAAGGUUUGGAUGAACCAUAGAAAAUGAAUUUGCUUCGAACAGUCUUGAUCAAGAGCGUUUGAAGCUUUCUAUGAGUUGUAGUGUUUGCAUUGUUACAGAGGAGAAAUGUUUGAAGCAGAUGCAAGAGGGCUGAAGAGCUUGAUCUUCGUAUACCAUGCACUGAAGCCAUUGUUGGCUUGCAAUAAGACUUUGUUGGUGACUAUAGCUCUUGUUAGGCAUAAGUGCUCCCCUAGUUGAGUUGUAAAGCUUGAUGGUUUUUUAUUAUUUGUGAAUGCUAGGAGUUCACAUGUACAAGUUGUACCACUCGUCUUCUGGUUAGUGGAAUGAAUGGUGGGUUGCUUUCAUCACUUGGUUGGUGGUACGAAUGUGAAUUCCUUAAUCACCUUUCAUCACAUUUCAUCACCUGGUUGGUGACAUGAAGGAGAGUACGCGUUGUACAUUUCAUCACCUGGUUGGUGGCAUGAAGGAAAGUACGCGUUGUACAUUUCAUCACCUGGUUGGUGGCAUGAAGAUGAGUUCCUUCUUCACCUGAUUGGUGAUAAGGGUGGCAAGUUUCCAAAUAAUAUUAGAGUACAGGUUGUACAUUUCAUCACCUAGUUGGUGGUACGAAGGUGAGUUCCUUCAUCACCUAGUUGGUGAGAAUAAGGGCAAGGUGUCGAGGCACAUUUUUGGCAAAUGUCGAAUGACACAAAGUGUGUUGAACCCUUUCGAAGCACAGUUGGCUUAUGUAUAGAUGUGUUGGAAUGUAUGAUGUUUAUGCAUGAAUGUGUUGGAAUGUAUGAUGUUUAUGUAUGAAUGUAUUGGAAUGUAUGAUGUUUAUGUAUGAAUGUGUUGGAAUGUAUGAUGUAGAUCCUUUGUAUAGUCUUGUUGACACAUACUUAGAUUUUGUUUUUGUAUUGGAAACAUUUGCGUUGAAGCUUCAACACUUGAGUGUUUCAUUGCUCAGAAUGUAAAAGAGUUUAUGGCCGAGUUGGCUAAAUCACCUCUUUAUUGAAUUCAUACCAAAUGGUCUUUGUUACAUAGGAUGCCGAACGGCUGUAGCUUAACACUUGUACAAUGUGAGUUUAUUUGUAAUAGUACUUCAAGUGGUCAGCAUUCCAUGGAUGGCCAAGGGUCUUGCCAUCGGAGUUUCUGAGCUUGUAGGAGCCAGGGCGGCUGAUGCCGACGACCUCAAACGGUCCGUCCCAGUUAGGACUGAGUGUUCCUUCACUCGGGACCCUAUCACAGAGUAAUCUUUUC